This 681-nucleotide ribosomal RNA is filed under the name uncultured Escherichia sp. RNAcentral describes it as "bacterial SSU rRNA". It matches the Rfam family "Bacterial small subunit ribosomal RNA", at positions 76 to 750 of the family's 1533-position model. The record is from RNAcentral. Lineage: Bacteria; Pseudomonadati; Pseudomonadota; Gammaproteobacteria; Enterobacterales; Enterobacteriaceae.
CAGCUUGCUGCUUUGCUGACGAGUGGCGGACGGGUGAGUAAUGUCUGGGAAACUGCCUGAUGGAGGGGGAUAACUACUGGAAACGGUAGCUAAUACCGCAUAACGUCGCAAGACCAAAGAGGGGGACCUUCGGGCCUCUUGCCAUCGGAUGUGCCCAGAUGGGAUUAGCUAGUAGGUGGGGUAAAGGCUCACCUAGGCGACGAUCCCUAGCUGGUCUGAGAGGAUGACCAGCCACACUGGAACUGAGACACGGUCCAGACUCCUACGGGAGGCAGCAGUGGGGAAUAUUGCACAAUGGGCGCAAGCCUGAUGCAGCCAUGCCGCGUGUAUGAAGAAGGCCUUCGGGUUGUAAAGUACUUUCAGCGGGGAGGAAGGGAGUAAAGUUAAUACCUUUGCUCAUUGACGUUACCCGCAGAAGAAGCACCGGCUAACUCCGUGCCAGCAGCCGCGGUAAUACGGAGGGUGCAAGCGUUAAUCGGAAUUACUGGGCGUAAAGCGCACGCAGGCGGUUUGUUAAGUCAGAUGUGAAAUCCCCGGGCUCAACCUGGGAACUGCAUCUGAUACUGGCAAGCUUGAGUCUCGUAGAGGGGGGUAGAAUUCCAGGUGUAGCGGUGAAAUGCGUAGAGAUCUGGAGGAAUACCGGUGGCGAAGGCGGCCCCCUGGACGAAGACUGACGCUCAG